GCUUACGGCCAUACCACGUUGAAUACACCAGUUCUCGUCCGAUCACUGAAGUUAAGCAACGUCGGGCUCGGUUAGUACUUGGAUGGGUGACUGCCUGGGAAUACCGAGUGUCGUAAGCU
This 119-nucleotide ribosomal RNA is filed under the name Adineta vaga. Lineage: Eukaryota; Metazoa; Rotifera; Eurotatoria; Adinetida; Adinetidae. The record is from RNAcentral.